UACGAAGGGGGCUAGCGUUGUUCGGAUUUACUGGGCGUAAAGCGCACGUAGGCGGUUAUUUAAGUCAGGGGUGAAAUCCCAGAGCUCAACUCUGGAACUGCCUUUGAUACUGGGUAUCUUGAGUAUGGAAGAGGUAAGUGGAAUUGCGAGUGUAGAGGUGAAAUUCGUAGAUAUUCGCAGGAACACCAGUGGCGAAGGCGGCUUACUGGUCCAUUACUGACGCUGAGGUGCGAAAGCGUGGGGAGCAAACAGG
RNAcentral lists this ribosomal RNA (253 nucleotides) under uncultured bacterium. Its description in RNAcentral is "partial 16S ribosomal RNA". It matches the Rfam family "Bacterial small subunit ribosomal RNA", at positions 524 to 776 of the family's 1533-position model. The record is from RNAcentral.